CUCUCUCGUUUGUAAAUCUUAAAAGUGUUAAUUACACGAAGUAAAGGUAUAAACCAGGAUUAGAGACCCUGCUAUUCUUUACUAGUUAACAGUUGGUUAGUACGAAUUAUGUUUGAAAACUAAAGAUUUUGGCAGUGGGUAAUGUCUAUUCAGAGGAGUUUGUUCAGUAAAAUCGAUAAUCCGCGAGGAUCUUACUCUAUUUUGUGUUCAACUUAUAUACCGCCGUCGUCAGCUAAUGCCAUAAGGGUGUAAGAAUUAGCUAAAAGAUGGAUAUCUAAACGUCAGGUCAGGGUGUAGUCAAUAGUAGAGGUUGGAAUGAAUUACAGUUAUUUAGCAAUACCGGAUAUUACUCAUGAAACUAGUAAUUGAAGUUGGAUUUGGUUGUAAAUUUGUAUUAUGAUGAUAUAUUGACUGUAGCGCUUAUCUAUGCACACACCGCCCGUCAUUUUCCUGAAAUCAUAAAGGAAAGAAGUCGUAACAAGGUAGGGCAUCCGGAAGGAUCCCCUGGGGAAUUA
RNAcentral lists this non-coding RNA (515 nucleotides) under Branchiostoma floridae (Florida lancelet). RNAcentral's name for it is "Microsporidia small subunit ribosomal RNA". It matches the Rfam family "Microsporidia small subunit ribosomal RNA", at positions 427 to 1311 of the family's 1311-position model. The record is from Rfam by way of RNAcentral. Lineage: Eukaryota; Metazoa; Chordata; Leptocardii; Amphioxiformes; Branchiostomatidae.